RNAcentral lists this ribosomal RNA (253 nucleotides) under uncultured bacterium. RNAcentral's name for it is "partial 16S ribosomal RNA". It matches the Rfam family "Bacterial small subunit ribosomal RNA", at positions 524 to 776 of the family's 1533-position model. The record is from RNAcentral.
UACGUAGGGUGCGAGCGUUAAUCGGAAUUACUGGGCGUAAAGCGUGCGCAGGCGGUUUUGUAAGUCUGUCGUGAAAUCCCCGGGCUCAACCUGGGAAUUGCGAUGGAGACUGCAAGGCUAGAAUCUGGCAGAGGGGGGUAGAAUUCCACGUGUAGCAGUGAAAUGCGUAGAGAUGUGGAGGAACACCGAUGGCGAAGGCAGCCCCCUGGGCUAACACUGACGCUCAUGCACGAAAGCGUGGGGAGCAAACAGG